This 69-nucleotide transfer RNA is filed under the name Caerostris darwini. RNAcentral's name for it is "tRNA-Glu". It matches the Rfam family "tRNA". Rfam says of the family: Transfer RNA (tRNA) molecules are approximately 80 nucleotides in length. Their secondary structure includes four short double-helical elements and three loops (D, anti-codon, and T loops). Further hydrogen bonds mediate the characteristic L-shaped molecular structure. tRNAs have two regions of fundamental functional importance: the anti-codon, which is responsible for specific mRNA codon recognition, and the 3' end, to which the tRNAs corresponding amino acid is attached (by aminoacyl-tRNA synthetases). tRNAs cope with the degeneracy of the genetic code in two manners: having more than one tRNA (with a specific anti-codon) for a particular amino acid; and 'wobble' base-pairing, i.e. permitting non-standard base-pairing at the 3rd anti-codon position. Lineage: Eukaryota; Metazoa; Arthropoda; Arachnida; Araneae; Araneidae. The record is from RNAcentral.
UCCCAUGUCUAGUGGUUAGGAUUCCUGGCUUUCACCCAGGCGGCCCGGGUUCGAUUCCCGGCGUGGGAA